RNAcentral lists this long non-coding RNA (525 nucleotides) under Rhinopithecus roxellana (golden snub-nosed monkey). Its description in RNAcentral is "lncRNA (ENSRROG00000045914.1)". The record is from RNAcentral. Lineage: Eukaryota; Metazoa; Chordata; Mammalia; Primates; Cercopithecidae.
GUUCCCAUGAUCCAAGAGGGAAGAGGAUGAUAUGACUUUCAACCCUUGCACCCUGCAAUGCUCUCACCCUGCAACACCAACACCCAGCUCAACCUGACAUAGGACCAGAGGCCAGCUGCGGGCCGUCCAGCGGCUGUGCUACUUCUACAGCGUCGUCAUGCCCAGCGAGGCCCAGUGUGUCCUCUACCACGAGCUCCAGCUCUCCCUGGCCCGCAAGAACCUACAGAUCCACUCUGGACUACACCAAACAAAGUCUGGGGAUUCUCAUUCACCUCCAGAAGAAAGAGGAGGUGCAUGCCUGGCUGCAAGCAGAGAAGAUCUACUACAUCCUGCAGCAGAGCGAGCUAGUGGACCUGUACAUCCAGGUGACUCCAACCUGGGGUGGAGCUGUUUGAGGCAGCUGGAGACAUCUUCUUCAAUGGGGCCUGGGAGCGGGAGAAAUCUGUGUCCUUCUACCAGGUGAGCUGGCCUGUGGGCUGAUGUGGGUGGGCCUCACGGGGGGCACCUGGAGGGCUGAGCCACAGG